This is a long non-coding RNA of Mytilus trossulus (common blue mussel), 737 nucleotides long. RefSeq lists it as uncharacterized. The transcript is spliced from 4 exons. The record is from RefSeq and is a predicted model, not a curated record. NCBI's taxonomy places the organism in Eukaryota, Metazoa, Mollusca, Bivalvia, Mytilida, Mytilidae.
GAUGUAAGUAUGUGUAAAUCUACUUAGAUAACUUCCUAUGUAUAAUAAUAAGCAGAGGUUUCACUUUUUUGGAAUUUUGCCUGUGCUAUUUUUAGAAUCACAACAACAUAGCCACUGAUGUCUUGUUCAUUUGUGUCUUGGCAGGACUACAUCUUAAUAGAAUACUUUGAUAUCAAAACAGAGAUCUUUCCUAUGAAAUUCAUUACCAAUACGCAUAGCUCUCCACCUAAUAUUGUAACUAGUAGUGCAAUUAAUGGAAAAAAAGUUGAACGUUUGUGAGGCUGUAUCCGCUAUUGAUAUAGUCCAACAGUGACAGAAAUCCGUACAUACAUCUAACGAUGUGAUAAAAGCUCCAAUGAUGAAAUCUAUUAAUUACUGUGUGAUUGACAGAAAGAAAUAUACAAGGAAGAGAUCAGUUUCGUUUUUCAAAUAAGAUGGUUUUCCAUUGCAAAGAACGAGAGAAUCAGACCGAAAUGAUCAGUCAAAGAAACCUUUUAAGCUGUGAACAGAUGUAGAUCAGUUACAAAGAUGUGUUUCCACAGGACAUUUCCUUUUAUAACCAGGAUGAGUAAUCAGAGUUUGGAUCAGUCAGAACAGAAGAUUUUGAUAAGUAACAUGAGACUCUUUAAAUAGAGAUUAGAGGCAUUUUGUCAAUUAUGGUGAAAAUAAUGAUACUGAAAUUCUAACAAAAUGCUUUAAAGUUGCAAUGAGGCAUGAGAUUUAAACAACAGUAAACA